RNAcentral lists this ribosomal RNA (406 nucleotides) under uncultured bacterium. Its description in RNAcentral is "partial 16S ribosomal RNA". It matches the Rfam family "Bacterial small subunit ribosomal RNA", at positions 30 to 526 of the family's 1533-position model. The record is from RNAcentral.
AUUGAACGCUGGCGGCAGGCCUAACACAUGCAAGUCGAACGAGUGGCGGACGGGUGAGUAAUGUCUGGGAAACUGCAUGAUGGAGGGGGAUAACUACUGGAAACGGUAGCUAAUACCGCAUACCAUCAGAUGUGCCCAUAUGGGAUUAGCUAGUUGGUGGGGUAACGGCUCACCAAGGCGACGAUCCCUACCUGGUCUGAGAGGAGUACCAGCCACACUGGAACUGAGACACGGUCCAGACUCUUACGUGAGCCAGCUGUGGGGAAGAUUGCACAAUGGGCGCAAGCCUGAUGCAGCCAUGCCGCGUGUAUGAAGAAGGCCUUCGGGUUGUAAAGUACUGUCAGCGGGGAGGCGUUACCCGCAGAAGAAGCACCGGCUAACGCCGUGCCAGCAGCCGCGGUAAUUC